GCUACGGGUGGCAGCAGUGGGGAAUAUUGCACAAUGGGGGAAACCCUGAUGCAGCGACGCCGCGUGAAGGAUGAAGUCUUUCGGUAUGUAAACUUCUAUCAGCAGGGCAGAAAAUGACGGUACCUGACUAAGCAGCCCCGGCUACCUACGUGCCAGCAUCCGCGGUAAUCCGUAGGGGGCACGCGUUAUCCGGCUUUACUGGGUGUAACGGGAGCGUAGACGGGAUGGCAAGUCUGAUGUGACACCCCGGGGCUCAACCCCGGGACGGCAGUGGAAACGGCAGAACUAGAGUGUCGGAGAGGAAAGUGGAAUUCCUAGUGUAGCGGUGAAAUGCGUAGAUAGUAGGAGGAACCCACGUGGCGAAGGCGGGUGGCUGGGCGAUGACUGACGUUGAGGCUCGAAAGCGUGGGGAGCAAACAGGAUUAGAUACCCCAGUAGUC
This 440-nucleotide ribosomal RNA is filed under the name uncultured bacterium. Its description in RNAcentral is "partial 16S ribosomal RNA". It matches the Rfam family "Bacterial small subunit ribosomal RNA", at positions 338 to 795 of the family's 1533-position model. The record is from RNAcentral.